This is a non-coding RNA of Physcomitrium patens, 1757 nucleotides long. NCBI's taxonomy places the organism in Eukaryota, Viridiplantae, Streptophyta, Bryopsida, Funariales, Funariaceae. The record is from RefSeq and is a predicted model, not a curated record.
CGGGGGGGGAGGCUUCGAUCAUGGCGCCUCAAAGCCCCGUAGGACUCGCUCUCCCGCGUUCUCACGGGCGUCCUCUCUCGCAAACCCUUGCAAGCCCUUCCCUUCUUCCCGCUUCUGCUUCUGCUUCGCUGCCCUUACCUUCCCUGUGCUGGUCGCUAGUCUCGCAGUGCUGCCAAUUGUGCGUGCUCCUUAGCGUUUUCUUUGCUCGCUCGGUUCGACGGGGAUCUUCAAGUUGUGGACGAGUGAGUUUAGGGGAGUCUUGAGUUUAUCCUUCUCUCCCCCCGCCCUCCCUUUUUUUUUUUUUUUUUUUUUUUUUUUUGUGUGUGUGCAGAGUGGCUUGAUUAGAAAGUGGUGGCGAGAUGGAAGGGGCAUCUGUAUCAACAAACCCCCGCUCCGUGGAGGAGGUCUUUAAGGAUUUCAGAGGGCGUCGAGCGGGGAUGCUCAAGGCUCUUACUACUGAAGUAGAAGAAUUUUACCGGCAGUGUGAUCCAGAGAAGGAGAAUUUAUGUUUGUAUGGAUUUCCGGAGGAAACGUGGGAGGUGAACCUCCCUGCCGAAGAAGUACCCCCAGAGCUACCGGAGCCUGCGCUGGGGAUCAACUUCGCACGAGACGGAAUGCAGCGCAAGGACUGGCUUUCAUUGGUUGCUGUACAUAGUGACGCAUGGCUGCUCGCUGUUGCAUUUUAUUACGGUGCCCGAUUUGACAAGAUCGAAAGGAAGCGGCUAUUCAAUUUGAUUAAUGAGCUGCCAACGGUAUUUGAUGUGGUUACCGGAAAGAAGCCUGUGAAGGAAAAGAGCAGCGUCAAUAAUAACGUUAACAGCAAUAGCAACAAUAAUAACAACAGCGGCGGGAACAAGGCAAAGUCUGCGGCGAAGGUGCAACGUGCGGCUGAAACUGCCAAGGCCAAACCAGCACCUCCUCCUCCUAAGGAAGACGACGAUCUUGAAGACGAAGACGAGGAGGAGCACGGAGAUACAUUCUGUGGCACCUGUGGGGGAAGUUAUACGGCUGAGGAAUUCUGGAUAGGUUGUGACAUUUGUGAGAAAUGGUAUCACGGAAAAUGCGUGAAGAUUACACCUGCAAGAGCAGAGCACAUCAAGCAAUACAAGUGCCCGGCGUGUAGCAACAAACGGGCGCCUUCGUUCCCGUGACAGCUGCUAUGGUGCAGAUCUUCAAUGGCUGCGUCCGUACCUAGACUCUGGCUGUAUCGUGGCUUCACUGAGCUCCAGUUGCCUAAGGCUGCUGGUAGGCAAGAGAGCUACAUGCAGGGAUUCCUGCAGCGAGGCACUGGUGCGCGUAGUGCUCAUAAGAUUUGGAACGACUCAAAGAUACUGACUCAUGGUUGGAUAUUUUGGUAUUCGUGUGCAAAAGCAGAAGGCACAGUUACGAGUUUUAAGAAAACACAAUUGAAGGUGCGUAAUAAGGUAAAAUACACCAAAGUAUUAUUCUGAGUUUAAUAAGAACUUUUUCCUUUUGUUUAAAAUUAUACAAUUGGAAUUUGCUAAUUUUAAGCGCAAGGUUUUACUAGUAUUGAUUUAUUUUUAUUAUUAUCGUUACUUUUAACGUGGAAAGUUGCUUAUCGCACUAUACACUAUGUUAGACUAAGAGUAAUUUGGUUUAACUUGUCCAUGUUGAAUUAGAAAAAAAACAUAUUGUCUCCUAUAUAUUGUUCCAAAAAAAAUCAAGUUUCAUAAAAAAGAAACUAUACAUAUGUAUUCUACUUAUAUUUGGUAUAAAAUUUUAAUUAAUUUUUUUUA